GAACGCACAUUGCACCCUCUGGUAUUCCGGGAGGGUAUGCCUGUUUGAGUGUCAUUAAUAUAUCAACACAGACAAGUUUUUCAUGACUUGAUCUGCUGCUUGGAUGUUGAAGGCUUGCUGGCAUUGACAUUUUCUGUCAGCUCCUUUUAAAUUCAUUAGCAGGAACAUUGCAGGACUGGCUUCAGUUUGAUAAGAUUGAACUGUUGUUAGAAUGCGCUUUUGCUGUUCCGGCUUCUAAUUGUCUGGUAAAACUGGACUGUCUCUCUCUGAGACAUUUACAUUUGACAACUUGGCCUCAAAUCAGGUAGGACUACCCGCUGAACUUAAG
This 328-nucleotide unclassified non-coding RNA is filed under the name uncultured Clavariaceae. RNAcentral describes it as "sequence contains 5.8S rRNA gene". Lineage: Eukaryota; Fungi; Basidiomycota; Agaricomycetes; Agaricales; Clavariaceae. The record is from RNAcentral.